This 831-nucleotide long non-coding RNA is filed under the name Anser brachyrhynchus (Pink-footed goose). RNAcentral's name for it is "lncRNA (ENSABRG00000004873.1)". The record is from RNAcentral. Lineage: Eukaryota; Metazoa; Chordata; Aves; Anseriformes; Anatidae.
UUACAUUACUGCAUAAUUUUAUGCUCCAUAGCUAGGAAAGCAUGUAUGGCUUCCUUGAACACUUCACCUGUCACCAUGAGAAUUUCACUCUUUUCCUGAACAAGCACAGCCUUUAUAUAAAGUAAACAUAAAUGAGCCAAUCCAGGGCGGAAAGUUCCUGAGGCCAGAAUAAAACUAAAAAAAUGUCACCACUAUUUUCAGAUGGAGAUCCCAGGAAUGCAUUGCCUGUGGUAUGUGAAGUAUGUUCAAAGACAUGUAAUGUUAUUUUGUUUAGCCAGAACAGCCUCCCUGUGCCUGGAUGUGCUCUGUAACAGAUAUCUUAAUGCCUUGCCAUGCUCCUGCCAAUGAAGCUGUGAGUGGGGUUUCCUCAGAGCAGUGAUGCUUUCCAGCUUCCCCACUGCAGGCCCAUGCCCAGGUGAGACCAACCCCAUGGAAGUGCCUGUGAUGGUUUCCAAAACACCUCCUCCCCCCUGGAAAAGAGAGGUUGCUCUGAGCAUGACCCCUCCUGCCUGCUGACAGCAAGUGCUGGUUCAACACAGAUACCUGGAGCAGAAUUAGUGAAAAGCUUUGUACGAGACUGCAGGGCAAAUUCAGGCUCAUGGAGCUUUUCCUGCUUAGACUGAAUCAUGACGUUCAGACUGGAGUCACGUUUUCUCUGGUGGCAGCAGCACUGAGAUUUCUGAAGCAGAUGCUCUGUAAUCUUCAGCCACGCCUGGAUAUCCUCUGUCAUCAGGUAAAGCCCAUACUGGUGAGGAACUCACGUUGCCAACAGCCACUUUCUUCAGGGUGGAGCUAAUGAACCUUGGAAAACGAGAUGCUGGUUCAGAAAAG